GGUGCCCAUAGUUCAGUUGGUUAGAGCGUCAGAUUGUGGUUCUGAAUGUCGACGGUUCGAGUCCGUCUGGGCACCC
RNAcentral lists this transfer RNA (76 nucleotides) under Prevotellaceae bacterium. RNAcentral describes it as "tRNA-His". It matches the Rfam family "tRNA". From Rfam's summary of the family: Transfer RNA (tRNA) molecules are approximately 80 nucleotides in length. The record is from RNAcentral. Lineage: Bacteria; Pseudomonadati; Bacteroidota; Bacteroidia; Bacteroidales; Prevotellaceae.